UGGCGGACGGGUGAGUAAUGUCUGGGAAACUGCCUGAUGGAGGGGGAUAACUACUGGAAACGGUAGCUAAUACCGCAUAACGUCGCAAGACCAAAGAGGGGGACCUUCGGGCCUCUUGCCAUCGGAUGUGCCCAGAUGGGAUUAGCUAGUGGUGGGGUAACGGCUCACCUAGGCGACGAUCCCUAGCUGGUCUGAGAGGAUGACCAGCCACACUGGAACUGAGACACGGCCCAG
RNAcentral lists this ribosomal RNA (234 nucleotides) under uncultured bacterium. RNAcentral's name for it is "partial 16S ribosomal RNA". It matches the Rfam family "Bacterial small subunit ribosomal RNA", at positions 96 to 334 of the family's 1533-position model. The record is from RNAcentral.